UGGGAAGUAUUGCACAAUGGCGCAAGCCUGAUGCAGCCAUGCCGCGUGUAUGAAGAAGGCCUUCGGGUUGUAAAGUACUUUCAGCGAGGAGGAAGGCAUUAAGGUUAAUAACCUUGGUGAUUGACGUUACUCGCAGAAGAAGCACCGGCUAACUCCGUGCCAGCAGCCGCGGUAAUACGGAGGGUGCAAGCGUUAAUCGGAAUUACUGGGCGUAAAGCGCACGCAGGCGGUCUGUCAAGUCGGAUGUGAAAUCCCCCGGGCUCAACCUGGGAACUGCAUUCGAAACUGGCAGGCUAGAGUCUUGUAGAGGGGU
This 313-nucleotide ribosomal RNA is filed under the name uncultured Enterobacteriaceae bacterium. Its description in RNAcentral is "bacterial SSU rRNA". It matches the Rfam family "Bacterial small subunit ribosomal RNA", at positions 355 to 660 of the family's 1533-position model. The record is from RNAcentral. Lineage: Bacteria; Pseudomonadati; Pseudomonadota; Gammaproteobacteria; Enterobacterales; Enterobacteriaceae.